ACUAUACCUAGCCCAAGUUUUUACCAUAAACCUAAUAAUUAAAAUAGAAUAAAUUAAAACAUUCACCCCCUGGAUUAAAGUAUAGGAGAUAGAAAUUCUAAAAAUGGCGCGAUAGAGAAAGUACCGCAAGGGAAUGAUGAAAGAAAAAUUAUCAAAGUACAAAAAAGCAAAGAUUACCCCUUGUACCUUUUGCAUAAUGAAUUAACUAGUAAAAACUUAACAAAAUGAAUUUUAGCUAAGUAACCCGAAACCAGACGAGCUACUUAUGAACAGUUAAUUAAGAACCAACUCAUCUAUGUAGCAAAAUAGUGAGAAGAUUUAUAAGUAGAGGUGAAACGCCUAACGAGCCUGGUGAUAGCUGGUUGUCCAGGAAAUGAAUAUCAGUUCAGCUUUAAAGAUACCAAAAAUACAAACAAAUUCACUGUAUCUUUAAAAGUUAGUCUAAAAAGGUACAGCCUUUUAGAAAUGGGUACAACCUUAACUAGAGAGUAAGAUCAAACAAAACCAUAGUAGGCCUAAAAGCAGCCAUCAAUUAAGAAAGCGUUAAAGCUCAACAACCAAACAAUAUUUAAUUCCAUCAACAAAUUAACCAACUCCUAGACCCACUACUGGACUAUUCUAUCAAAAAAAUAGAAGCAAUAAUGUUAAUAUGAGUAACGAGAAACAACUUCUCCCCGCAUAAGUUUAAGUCAGUGUCUGAUAAUACCCUGACUAUUAACAGUAAAUAAAAAUAACCCAAAAAUAAACAAUUUAUUCACUAUACUGUUAAUCCAACACAGGAGUGCACCCAGGAAAGAUUAAAAGAAGUAAAAGGAACUCGGCAAACACAAACCCCGCCUGUUUACCAAAAACAUCACCUCCAGCAUUCCCAGUAUUGGAGGCACUGCCUGCCCAGUGACAAACGUUAAACGGCCGCGGUAUUCUGACCGUGCAAAGGUAGCAUAAUCAUUUGUUCUUUAAAUAAGGACUUGUAUGAAUGGCCACACGAGGGUUUUACUGUCUCUUACUUCCAAUCAGUGAAAUUGACCUUCCCGUGAAGAGGCGGGAAUAAGAAAAUAAGACGAGAAGACCCUAUGGAGCUUUAACUAGUUAGCUUAAAGAAAAAAAACUUUACCACCAAGGAAUAACACUAAUCUUAAUAAACUAACAGUUUCGGUUGGGGUGACCUCGGAGAAUAAAAAACCCUCCGAGCGAUUUUAAAAACAAGACACACAAGUCAAAUUGAACUAUCGCUUAUUGAUCCAAAAUUUGAUCAACGGAACAAGUUACCCUAGGGAUAACAGCGCAAUCCUAUUCAAGAGUUCAUAUCGACAAUAGGGUUUACGACCUCGAUGUUGGAUCAGGACACCCCGAUGGUGCAACCGCUAUCAAAGGUUCGUUUGUUCAACGAUUAAAGUCCUACGUGAUCUGAGUUCAGACCGGAGUAAUCCAGGUCGGUUUCUAUCUAUUAUGAAUUUCUCCCAGUACGAAAGGACAAGAGAAAUAAGGCCAACUUCAAAAACGCGCCUUAAAUCAAUUAAUGACUCCGUCUCAAUUAACCCUACAAACAAGACUUGCCCUAGAAAAGGGCUUA
RNAcentral lists this ribosomal RNA (1573 nucleotides) under Gazella bennettii (chinkara). Its description in RNAcentral is "16S ribosomal RNA". The stretch from base 82 to 1466 matches the Rfam family "Bacterial large subunit ribosomal RNA". The record is from RNAcentral. Lineage: Eukaryota; Metazoa; Chordata; Mammalia; Artiodactyla; Bovidae.